AAUAAACCCUUUAUGGAAAGAGUGGAAAUCACACGACACAGCCUCUACAAUUCAUAGGAGCUGUCCAUCACCGGUGGUGCUGAAAUGUAUGCCAUUUCACUCACAACCUUCACUCAAACUAUAGCGGCCGCUCCAAGGAUACACUCAUUCCAGAUCUUAACCGAUGAGUAAAGCUGCCCUUUCGUGGCCUCCGUCGUGUGGAAAGUUGGAAUCAUCUGGAAACAGCACUUGUGCCUGUGCGUCACACGCUGAAAACUGCGCAUCUGAAAAAAAAAUCCUCAAUAAUUCACAAUAUCACAUGCGUUUAAUAAUUAAUUUCCUGCACGACUUUAAGGUUAGUCUGGUAACCCUGCUGAGAACACCAUCUUGAACCAGCCUAAGAUGGUUGGUUCGCUGGUCUGGAUUAAACAUGACCGAAUUGAUCUUCCGUCCUGAUCCAAAUCUAAACUGGAACCCCUCUAAGAGCAACCCAUUAGAAACAAAGGCACCUCGAGAUCACGUCAGUGGUGACACCCUUUUUUAAGGAAUACCCUCAGUGUUGGUGUAUUAGCCAAAGCGUCAAAUCUAGAUUUGUAAACAAUCCGGUUUGUUUAUAGAGCCAAACGCGUGGUCUGUGCAAAACCAGCUCGUCAGACUAAACACGUAACUGCAAAAUCUCGGUCAUGCAUAUGGUUUAUGUUCAUCACUUCAAAGACCAAUCAAUUCUUCGCGUUUGCCAAACGCAUGAAGUGGGUAAGAGCCCAGCGCUGCUUGGUAAUUCGUUUUUGGCGUGCGCUUUCAUCGGAAACAGCACAGAUUGGCGAGUCGUGACUGCUAAAGUGAGUAAUGCGCGUCGGCUGCGUCAGUAGGGGCAAAGCGCUGGGUGCCGGAGACAGAUGGAGGGAAUCGUGACUGACUGGAGACUUCCACAAAUGAAACCACAGCCUCAUCAUGUCUCCACGAGAGAGCUAUCUGUUAAAUGUUAGGGUCUCGCUGUUCUCCCCCGUCACUCUCAGUUCUGACCUUGGAAUCCGGAGGCGAUUCUACACAUUCACAGAAAUGCGACUUUGAGUGUCGGGCUCUCCAGUUAGCGAGUUGAUGCGUGCGUGUGCAUGUGUGCUCGUGCUUGUGAGGUUAUUUUAUGGUUGUGUAUGUGUGUGUGUGCGUGCGCGUGCGUGCGUGAGUGAGAUGUGUGGGGUAUCCAAAUAUAGCCAGACUCUGAGAAUGAUGUUCAUUAUUUUAUGAGACAAGGAAAGAAGAAAGCUUUGGUGGCUGCAGACCUUGUAUACACGAAUCUCGGGGAACUUGUGGAUCACACGAUUUGGAAACUGAUUUAGGACUGAACCUGCCAAAAAUCACUCCUGACCAAUGCAGACAACUGGCUGGAUAAUUUCUCAUCUGCUUUCCACCUAAAAUAUUUUUUCAUAUUUGUGAAAUAAAAUCUUAAAUAGA
This is a non-coding RNA of Danio rerio (zebrafish), 1431 nucleotides long. The record is from RefSeq and is a predicted model, not a curated record. Lineage: Eukaryota; Metazoa; Chordata; Actinopteri; Cypriniformes; Danionidae.